GCAGGGGCUGGUCGAGGGGGCGCCGCCGUCGUCGCUGGCGGGAGCACGGCUCGUGAUCGUCUCCAAGACCCUUGCC
Molecule: transfer RNA, 76 nt
Filed under: Microbacterium maritypicum
Lineage: Bacteria; Bacillati; Actinomycetota; Actinomycetes; Micrococcales; Microbacteriaceae
Description: Microbacterium liquefaciens tRNA-Asp
Source: RNAcentral